UACGGAAGGCAGCAGUGGGGAAUAUUGCACAAUGGGCGAAAGCCUGAUGCAGCUAUGCCGCGCGUAUGAAGAAGGCCUUAGGGUUGUAAAGUACUUUCAUCGGGGAGGAAAAACAAAACUAAUAAUUUUAUUUCUUGACGUUACCCGAAAAAGAAGCACCGGCUAACUCCGUGCCAGCAGCCGCGGUAAUACGGAGGGUGCUAGCGUUAAUCAGAAUUACUGGGCGUAAAGAGCACGUAGGUGGUUUUUUUAAGUCAGAUGUGAAAUCCCUGGGCUUAACCUAGGAACUGCAUUUUGAAACUGAAAUACUAGAGUAUCGUAGAGGGAGGUAGAAUUCUAGGUGUAGCGGUGAAAUGCGUAGAUAUCUGGAGGAAUACCUGUGGCGAAAGCGGCCUCCUAAACGAAUACUGACACUGAGGUGCGAAAGCGUGGGGAGCAAACAGGGAUUAGAUACC
Molecule: ribosomal RNA, 455 nt
Filed under: uncultured bacterium
Lineage: Bacteria
Description: bacterial SSU rRNA
Rfam family: Bacterial small subunit ribosomal RNA
Source: RNAcentral